RNAcentral lists this ribosomal RNA (307 nucleotides) under uncultured bacterium. RNAcentral describes it as "partial 16S ribosomal RNA". It matches the Rfam family "Bacterial small subunit ribosomal RNA", at positions 506 to 808 of the family's 1533-position model. The record is from RNAcentral.
AGACAGCAGUAGCCACGGGAAUACGUAGGUGGCAAGCGUUGUCCGGAAUUAUUGGGCGUAAAGGGCUCGCAGGCGGUUUCUUAAGUCUGAUGUGAAAGCCCCCGGCUCAACCGGGGAGGGUCAUUGGAAACUGGGAAACUUGAGUGCAGAAGAGGAGAGUGGAAUUCCACGUGUAGCGGUGAAAUGCGUAGAGAUGUGGAGGAACACCAGUGGCGAAGGCGACUCUCUGGUCUGUAACUGACGCUGAGGAGCGAAAGCGUGGGGAGCGAACAGGAUUAGAUACCGCGUAGUCCCUGUCUCUUAUACC